GGCUCAAUGGUCUAGUGGUAUGAUUCCUGCUUUGGGUUCCACCCUUCUAUCUACACAUAUAGAAAUGCAGGAGGCCCCGGGUUCAAAUCCCGGUUGAGCCC
Non-coding RNA from Poronia punctata, 101 nucleotides. Lineage: Eukaryota; Fungi; Ascomycota; Sordariomycetes; Xylariales; Xylariaceae. The record is from the annotation of a GenBank genome assembly.